Molecule: long non-coding RNA, 1472 nt
Organism: Oncorhynchus nerka (sockeye salmon)
Lineage: Eukaryota; Metazoa; Chordata; Actinopteri; Salmoniformes; Salmonidae
Exons: 2
Source: RefSeq, a predicted model, not a curated record
CUCAACUGAGUCAUUGUCAACAUCCCACAGUGCAAGAGGAGGUGGGGUAACACCUGAAGAAGAGGAAAAACACUGUUACAGACAGGAACGUUCCCCAUGCUGACAAGGCACCAGAAAGGCACACAGCAGCACCACCAGCAUGGCACAGACCAGAGGCACCAGGAAAAACGCUGCCCGGAUGGCUCCCCUCACCUUAGCCCUUUUCCCGUCCGGGUCAGCACUGGCACCCAAUCCAGGGCCACCAGAGGCCCCAAGCCCCCCUCCAUCAUCUACUCCCUCAUCCCUGUUUGUCUCCCUCUGGCUCCAGUACUGCAUGCCCUUCUCCUCUCUCUCCUGCCUCUUUUUUCCAGGGAGCCGUUCUCUCCACUCAUCGUCAGCCUCCUCUUCCUCCUCUGCCUCCUCUUCAUCCCCUACGAGCCUCCCUGUUCUGCUCCCUCUCAGCUCUGAGGUACCUGUACCCAUGCAGUUGCCCCUCCCCAGGCCAUUGCGGGGAUAGUUGAGGACCAGGUCGUCCUCCUCGCUCUCGUCCUCACUGUCGGCCUGAGUGAGGGGGUCAUACUCUCCAAGCUCCGAGCCCUUCUUCCCUGUAAGGGACAUACACACAAAGACACACACGGUUAACCUUUUACUGCAGUGGGCUAAAUCAGGGUCACACAGAGUGUUUCUUGGUAGUCUUAAACAAAUCUACUUUGAAACAAAAGUAUCCACCUGACUCACAUGAUUAUGGGCUUAAAAAUAAAUGUCAGAUAUAGAGUUGAAAUGUAUUACAUUUCGAGUUUGCAUCCCCAUAUUACACUUAAUAUAUAUCACAGAAGACUGAAAUAUAACAAAAACUUAUGACAUAGAAACACCAGAUAAUGUUUAUUAAUUAUGACAUUCUGAAAAAUAUUAAUAACAUUCCACCCUUGAGGCCACUAGCGCUCGAUUUGGUCAUUUGACUGCAGGUCAGAGGUCUACGGAUCUGUUCAGGAAACAAGGCCAAGGUGAAAACUAGAAUGAUCUGAUAGAGCAUGGUGGUGCCUGAUAGAACGACAAGCAUCCCAAAAGGACAGGGAAGUUACUCAAACAUUGUUUAUUUUAACACCAAAUGAAUUAUGUUCUACCCUGGUCCCAGAUCUGUUUGUACUCUUGCCGACUCUAUUGUUCAUUGUUUGGCAUGACCAUGAUUGCCAAGUUAAAUGAAUGACCCCCAUUACAUGGCCUUAUUUGUAGUUAUUUGUUGAACACGAGAUUUAAGCAAGUAGCUAAAUCCGUUAUAGCAUUAUUAUGACAGUGAGCACUGAGCAAUCAAGCGACUUCGAUGAGGCACCUUACUGUACUGUACAGUAGCUAGCUACUGCGCCACAUAGGAUUGUGAAUGAUGCAAUGUUUUUCUAUUAAAGCUUGAAAAGAAACGAAAUAUCAAACAUUGAAAAUAAGUAUCGUAUUUCAUCUCUCAAUUCUGGACUGUCAUUAAACAAAUAAAAACAUUA